This 356-nucleotide ribosomal RNA is filed under the name uncultured Desulfobulbus sp. RNAcentral describes it as "bacterial SSU rRNA". It matches the Rfam family "Bacterial small subunit ribosomal RNA", at positions 1027 to 1382 of the family's 1533-position model. Lineage: Bacteria; Pseudomonadati; Thermodesulfobacteriota; Desulfobulbia; Desulfobulbales; Desulfobulbaceae. The record is from RNAcentral.
UCUGGAGACAGGUGCUGCAUGGCUGUCGUCAGCUCGUGUCGUGAGAUGUUGGGUUAAGUCCCGCAACGAGCGCAACCCUUGCCUUUAGUUGCCAGCAGUUCGGCUGGGCACUCUAAAGGGAACUGCCGGUGUUAAACCGGAGGAAGGUGGGGAUGACGUCAAGUCCUCAUGGCCUUUAUGACCAGGGCUACACACGUACUACAAUGGCCGAUACAAAGGGCAGCGACACUGCGAGGUGAAGCCAAUCCCGUAAAAUCGGUCUCAGUCCGGAUUGGAGUCUGCAACUCGACUCCAUGAAGUUGGAAUCGCUAGUAAUCGUGGAUCAGCAUGCCACGGUGAAUACGUUCCCGGGCCUU